Non-coding RNA from Phascolarctos cinereus (koala), 492 nucleotides. The record is from RefSeq and is a predicted model, not a curated record. NCBI's taxonomy places the organism in Eukaryota, Metazoa, Chordata, Mammalia, Diprotodontia, Phascolarctidae.
CUUCCUAUGUGGCUUCACAGUACCACCAGCCUCAGCAAGGACACAGCCAUGGGAACAGGAGUGACAGAUUCCGAGGAAGAAGAAACAAUUCUAAGAGGCCUGUGCUCAAGGAAAGAAAUAGGAUAAUAUAGAAUACUCUCCUGAUCUAAGUUGGGUCAAUAUGGAAAAGGACAAAUCACCUAUAGGAAGAGCAUCUAAAGACAGGGGUGUGAUCAGUGUCUGGAAGGCUGGCAAUGUUAACACACCUAUCUGCAAGUAAGCCAAGUUGUCAUUCAACGAACAAUACGUGGCGGCCGAUACUGCCAUCUAGCGUCCAUUGAGACUCACUACAAAAGUGACAUAACCUCGAGGAACAAUGCCCCAGAUCAGGAAUAUGAGAGCUAACACCAUGCUUCUACAAUACUCUAAAAUACUCUAAUGUAUUGGUAUCAAACUCAAAUAGAAAUGGGAUCAUUAAACUGUACAUAAGAAUCCCUACAGUGCCAUAUUAAC